UACGGAGGGUGCAAGCAUUGAUCGGAAUUACUGGGCGUAAAGGGCGCGUAGGUGGUUCAUUAAGUCAGAUGUGAAAUUCCGGGGCUCAACCCCGGAGCUGCAUCUGAAACUGACGAACUAGAGUUCAGUUAGGGAAAACGGAAUUCCACGUGUAGCGGUGAAAUGCGUAGAUAUGUGGAAGAACACCGGUGGUGAAGACGGUUUUCUAGGCUGAUACUGACACUGAGGCGCGAAAGCUAGGGGAGCAAACAGG
This 253-nucleotide ribosomal RNA is filed under the name uncultured bacterium. RNAcentral describes it as "partial 16S ribosomal RNA". It matches the Rfam family "Bacterial small subunit ribosomal RNA", at positions 524 to 776 of the family's 1533-position model. The record is from RNAcentral.